Molecule: ribosomal RNA, 579 nt
Filed under: uncultured bacterium
Lineage: Bacteria
Description: partial 16S ribosomal RNA
Rfam family: Bacterial small subunit ribosomal RNA
Source: RNAcentral
UGGGGAAUAUUGGACAAUGGGCGCAAGCCUGAUCCAGCCAUACCGCGUGGGUGAAGAAGGCCUUCGGGUUGUAAAGCCCUUUUGUUGGGAAAGAAAUCCAGCUGGUUAAUACCCGGUUGGGAUGACGGUACCCAAAGAAUAAGCACCGGCUAACUUCGUGCCAGCAGCCGCGGUAAUACGAAGGGUGCAAGCGUUACUCGGAAUUACUGGGCGUAAAGCGUGCGUAGGUGGUCGUUUAAGUCUGUUGUGAAAGCCCUGGGCUCAACCUGGGAACUGCAGUGGAAACUGGACGACUAGAGUGUGGUAGAGGGUAGCGGAAUUCCUGGUGUAGCAGUGAAAUGCGUAGAGAUCAGGAGGAACAUCCAUGGCGAAGGCAGCUACCUGGACCAACACUGACACUGAGGCACGAAAGCGUGGGGAGCAAACAGGAUUAGAUACCCUGGUAGUCCACGCCCUAAACGAUGCGAACUGGAUGUUGGGUGCAAUUUGGCACGCAGUAUCGAAGCUAACGCGUUAAGUUCGCCGCCUGGGGAGUACGGUCGCAAGACUGAAACUCAAAGGAAUUGACGGGGUCAUAGC